AGCUUUGCACAGUGGCAGUAUCGUAGCCAAUGAGGUUUAUCCAAGGAGUGAUUAUUGCUAAUUAAAUCAACUUCAGUCAUGUAACUUCAAUUAGAAUAUUCUGGAUGAAAAGGAUUUUAUUAUAUUCUGUUUCCUAGU
Small nuclear RNA from Artibeus jamaicensis (Jamaican fruit-eating bat), 138 nucleotides. RefSeq annotates it as U4 spliceosomal RNA. NCBI's taxonomy places the organism in Eukaryota, Metazoa, Chordata, Mammalia, Chiroptera, Phyllostomidae. The record is from RefSeq and is a predicted model, not a curated record. The transcript has a single exon.